Molecule: transfer RNA, 86 nt
Filed under: Marsupella sphacelata
Lineage: Eukaryota; Viridiplantae; Streptophyta; Jungermanniopsida; Jungermanniales; Gymnomitriaceae
Description: partial tRNA-Leu
Source: RNAcentral
CAUUUAAUUAGCAACGAUGUAAAUCAUCGUAAAAAGAAAAUCCGUUGGCUUUUUAGACCGUGAGGGUUCAAGUCCCUCUACCCCCA